CUGUAGACACGUAGUUGAUCCUAGCUCGAGGACGAACGCUGGCGGCGCGCCUAACACAUGCAAGUCGAACGAGCGAAGAGGAGCUUGCUUCUCUGAGCGAGUGGCGAACGGGUGAGUAACGCGUGAGGAACCUGCCUCAAAGAGGGGGACAACAGUUGGAAACGACUGCUAAUACCGCAUAAGCCCACGGGUCGGCAUCGACCAGAGGGAAAAGGAGCAAUCCGCUUUGAGAUGGCCUCGCGUCCGAUUAGCUAGUUGGUGAGGUAAUGGCCCACCAAGGCGACGAUCGGUAGCCGGACUGAGAGGUUGAACGGCCACAUUGGGACUGAGACACGGCCCAGACUCCUACGGGAGGCAGCAGUGGGGAAUAUUGCACAAUGGGGGAAACCCUGAUGCAGCGACGCCGCGUGGAGGAAGAAGGUCUUCGGAUUGUAAACUCCUGUUGUUGAGGAAGAUAAUGACGGUACUCAACAAGGAAGUGACGGCUAACUACGUG
RNAcentral lists this ribosomal RNA (496 nucleotides) under uncultured bacterium. RNAcentral describes it as "bacterial SSU rRNA". It matches the Rfam family "Bacterial small subunit ribosomal RNA", at positions 1 to 507 of the family's 1533-position model. The record is from RNAcentral.